AAGUCGUAACAAGGUAACCGUAGGUGAACCUGCGGUUGGAUCAUUAACAAAUUGAUCGAGGCAUAUGGCCUUUCACGGCUUUGCCUGCGUUUCUCUCGUGAAAGCGAGGUUGAAACACACACCCAAUUGUGAACUGUUUUUUGUCUCUGGCGGUGGGGUUUGCGAGGAAGCAUUCUUGCUUCUCUUUCAAGCCUGUCAGCAACGGUCAUAUGAUGCCUUUGUUCUUUUCUUGGGACGAGGGGGCCACGUGAACGCUGCCGUGGACAAGCCGCCAACCGUUUCUUCAAUAACACAUUGUCUGAUUUUGUAUGUCUUACCUGUUUGCUUUGUAUGAAUGUACAAAAAACAACUUUUGGCAACGGAUCUCUUGGCUCUC
This 376-nucleotide unclassified non-coding RNA is filed under the name Spizellomyces sp. Its description in RNAcentral is "partial internal transcribed spacer region". The stretch from base 1 to 46 matches the Rfam family "Eukaryotic small subunit ribosomal RNA", at positions 1786 to 1831 of the family's 1831-position model. Lineage: Eukaryota; Fungi; Chytridiomycota; Chytridiomycetes; Spizellomycetales; Spizellomycetaceae. The record is from RNAcentral.